This 204-nucleotide long non-coding RNA is filed under the name Sorghum bicolor (sorghum). RNAcentral describes it as "long non-coding RNA (SBIC_LNC005939)". The record is from RNAcentral. Lineage: Eukaryota; Viridiplantae; Streptophyta; Magnoliopsida; Poales; Poaceae.
GCCAAACACUUAAAAUACAAUUGGAUUCUAAUCGAAAAUUUUGACAAUCACUUCUCCAUUUACAUUAUGACUUGGAAGCUUAAAAAACCAGCUCUCCACCGCUUUCCGUUACCCUCCAUUCAUCUUUCACAGGAAACACUUUAGAAUUGAUUCUCACCUGCUCCCCACCUUACUCCACACCAGAAUCACUCUGUCAAAGAAUCA